Molecule: ribosomal RNA, 500 nt
Filed under: uncultured bacterium
Lineage: Bacteria
Description: partial 16S ribosomal RNA
Rfam family: Bacterial small subunit ribosomal RNA
Source: RNAcentral
AUUGAACGCUGGCGGCAUGCCUUACACAUGCAAGUCGAACGGCAGCACGGGAGCAAUCCUGGUGGCGAGUGGCGAACGGGUGAGUAAAGUAUCGGAACGUGCCCAGUCGUGGGGGAUAACGUAGCGAAAGUUACGCUAAUACCGCAUACGAUCUAUGGAUGAAAGCGGGGGAUCGCAAGACCUCGCGCGAUUGGAGCGGCCAAUAUCAGAUUAGGUAGUUGGUGGGGUAAAGGCUCACCAAGCCGACGAUCUGUAGCUGGUCUGAGAGGACGACCAGCCACACUGGGACUGAGACACGGCCCAGACUCCUACGGGAGGCAGCAGUGGGGAUUUUUGGACAAUGGGCGAAAGCCUGAUCCAGCCAUGCCGCGUGCAGGAUGAAGGCCUUCGGGUUGUAAACUGCUUUUGUACGGAACGAAAAGGUUUGGCCUAAUAAGCUGAGCUCAUGACGGUACCGUAAGAAUAAGCACCGGCUAACUACGUGCCAGCAGCCGCGGUAA